RNAcentral lists this long non-coding RNA (513 nucleotides) under Manihot esculenta (cassava). RNAcentral describes it as "long non-coding RNA (MESC_LNC012368)". The record is from RNAcentral. Lineage: Eukaryota; Viridiplantae; Streptophyta; Magnoliopsida; Malpighiales; Euphorbiaceae.
CCAAUCACUUGUUACUAUGCUAUAGUCAGAUGAUCUAUCCCAGUGAUUUGGGCAAAUCACCUCGGUGAUUUGGGCAAAUCACCACCUCUGGGCUGCCUCCCAGUAGCGCCCUGUUUUCUGUCUUGGGCUGGACAGCAGUGUCUUGAUCAGCUGUUUGGGGCAGGGGAUCCAAGGGAACCUCCUCCAUGAGAUGAACAGUAAAUCCUUCAUAAAAUUUCUUCAAACGAUGUCCAUUAACUUUGAAAACCUUGCUUGUUUGUGGACUCCGUAUGUCAACAGCCCCAUGUGGAUAGACAUGCUCAACCAAAAAUGGCCCAAUCCACCUAGACUGAAGCUUUCUAGGGAAUAAUUUGAAUCUAGAAUCAAAAAGUAAGACCUUAUCACCAACCUGGAAGUAUUUUCUGGAGAUAUUUUUGUCAUGGAAGGCUUUGGUCUUUGCUUUGUAAUCCCAAGAAGCUUCAUAUGCAUCACGCCGAAUCUCUUCAAGUUCUUGAAGUUGCAAUUUUCUGUUGG